GGUGGGGAAGGUCAUAUAGACCGAAGUACAUGAUUCCAUGCUUCCAAGAAAAGCAUCUAGAGAGAGAAGUAGUGCCCGUACCGCAAACCGACACAGGUAGAUGAGGAGAGAAUCCUAAGGCCGGCGGAAGAAUUGCAGUUAAGGAACUAGGCAAAUUGACCCCGUAAGUUCGCGAGAAGGGGUGCCUGCGAGAGCAGGCCGCAGAGAAUAGGCCCAAGCAACUGUUUAGCAAAAACACAGGUCUCUGCUAAAGCGCAAGCUGAUGUAUAGGGGCUGACGCCUGCCCGGUGCUGGAAGGUUAAGGGGGAUACUUAGCGCAAGCGAAGGUAUGAACUUAAGCCCCAGUAAACGGCGGCCGUAACGAUAACGGUCCUAAGGUAGCGAAAUUCCUUGUCAGGUAAGUUCUGACCCGCACGAAUGGCGUAAUGACUUGGGCACUGUCUCAACUGCAAAUCCGGCGAAGUUGUAGUGCGAGUGAAGAUGCUCGCUACCCGCGAUUGGACGGAAAGACCCCGUAGAGCUUUACUGCAGCUUAGCAUUGAAUUCCGGUAUUGUCUGUACAGGAUAGGUGGGAGACUGGGAAACUAGGGCGUCAGCCUUAGUGGAGUCAACCUUGGGAUACCACCCUGACAGUACUGGGGUUCUAACAGGACGCCAUGAAACCGGUGACUGGACAUUGUUAGGUGGGCAGUUUGACUGGGGCGGUCGCCUCCUAAAAAGUAACGGAGGCGCCCAAAGGUUCCCUCAGAACGGUCGGAAAUCGUUCGUAGAGUGCAAAGGCAAAAGGGAGCCUGACUGCGAGACCUACAAGUCGAGCAGGGACGAAAGUCGGGCUUAGUGAUCCGGUGGUACCUCGUGGGAGGGCCAUCGCUCAACGGAUAAAAGCUACCUCGGGGAUAACAGGCUGAUCUCCCCCAAGAGUCCACAUCGACGGGGAGGUUUGGCACCUCGAUGUCGGCUCGUCGCAUCCUGGGGCUGUAGUAGGUCCCAAGGGUUGGGCUGUUCGCCCAUUAAAGCGGCACGCGAGCUGGGUUCAGAACGUCGUGAGACAGUUCGGUCCCUAUCCGUCGCGGGCGUAGGAAAUUUGAGAGGAGCUGUCCUUAGUACGAGAGGACCGGGAUGGACUGACCUCCGGUGCACCAGUUGUUCCGCCAGGAGCACGGCUGGGUAGCUAAGUCGGGAAGGGAUAAACGCUGAAAGCAUCUAAGCGUGAAGCCUCCCUCAAGAUGAGAUUUCCCAUAGCAUAAGCUAGUAAGACCCCUUGAAGAACACAAGGUUGAUAGGUCAGAGGUGUAAGUGCGGUAACGUAUGUAGCUGACUGAUACUAAUAGGUCGAGGGCUUGACC
This 1346-nucleotide ribosomal RNA is filed under the name metagenome. RNAcentral describes it as "bacterial LSU rRNA". It matches the Rfam family "Bacterial large subunit ribosomal RNA", at positions 1564 to 2925 of the family's 2925-position model. The record is from RNAcentral.